UGGCAUUGCCACAGUGGUGACUAAGUGAGGUGUCUUGUGUUUUCCAGAUCGUCCUGAACGAAGCAACAAAACACCAACUGACAUUUUACCUCAGAUUUCUUUUUCCGGUUCCACUGAUACAAGAGGUCAAAUUUCAGAAUUUUCUGCAGAAGUAACAGAUAUUGGUUUUGGUAACCGCUGUGCAAAGCCCAGAGGACCAAGAGAGCCACCCUCAGAAUGGACAUGAUGCAAGAACUAAUGGACAUACUGUUGAUAAGUUAUACUGGAAAACUCAAGUGCCACUGAGAACUAGAGAAAUAGUGUUCCACUUUCCUGGGGGGCGACUAACAGAGCAGUGUAGAUCUAACUAUCAAUGGUACAUUCUUGCAGUACAUCCCACGCAAAACCUGACACAUGGUUCACAACAGUGGAUUCCAGUAUUACAACCUAACUUUUUGCUGGGGCCAUCUACCUGCCUUACUACACUUAGGAGAAAGUAUUACAUAUGAUUUAUUUUGUAACUUCAAGUAUUAUUGCCUUAAUGUCUUUUAACCCUGUUACACGCUGCUUGUAGACAUAUGUUAAUAUAGUAAUACUUUUGACAGAUUGUGUUUAUGGACUACUUUUUGCUAACAUUUGAUUACCAUGUAUGCAUUAUUUUGUAUAUGUACAGGGCAAGUAAGUAUAUAAUUUGAUAAAGUUGCAAUCAUAAAAUAUUAACAGAAGAUGUAAGAAAUCUCUGCAUGAUCUAAAUUUUUGUGUACCUUAUUUGUAAAUUAUUUGCCCUGAAGUUUUAGAAAAUAGUUUCUGGGGUUUUUUACAAAAAUUGCUGGACACACACAGCCAGAAUUGCAGGUUAGCAGAGAUAAAGAUUGUAAUGCAUUUUGUAAAUUGUAAGCAAAAGGUUAUUUUUAUAUUAUAUGCUGUUUAAUUGUCAGACCUGAUUUGUUCUGGUUUUCAUCUAGUCAUGGAGAUUCAGUAAGUGCCUUGGAACAGUAUUGAAUUCUCUUAGCCUGUGUAUGUUACUUCAGUGUUUUGAGUUCAUCUGGAAUUAGAUUAUCAAAGAUAUUUGUAAAUUUCUUAGUAUAUUUGACCUGCCAGUAAAACAGAAACCAUUUCACAUAAUCAACACUCCUUAGUUUUCAUUUUAAUGUUUCAUCAGUUGCAAUCUUUAGAAAAUUCAUCUCUAUCACCUUUCUGUAUAGUAGGAUUUUACCGUUUUAAUAUGGCGUGUUUCUAAUUUGGGAAAACCAGAACACACUGGUAAAAUGACUGUUUCAAUACCACUGUCUUCUCUUACAGAUGGGGAAUACAAUUUCUGUUGUUCAGCAACUGUGUAUGUAAGAAAGCAACUUAUAUGAAGGUUCACCUGGAGCCCUUGCAGCUACACUGUAUCUUGGCAAUAUAUUAUGUCAAGAGUUAAUCCUUAUAAGGAUUCCUUACUUAAACUUUUC
RNAcentral lists this long non-coding RNA (1433 nucleotides) under Malurus cyaneus samueli. Its description in RNAcentral is "lncRNA (ENSMCSG00000007178.1)". Lineage: Eukaryota; Metazoa; Chordata; Aves; Passeriformes; Maluridae. The record is from RNAcentral.